This 253-nucleotide ribosomal RNA is filed under the name uncultured bacterium. RNAcentral's name for it is "partial 16S ribosomal RNA". It matches the Rfam family "Bacterial small subunit ribosomal RNA", at positions 524 to 776 of the family's 1533-position model. The record is from RNAcentral.
UACGUAGGGUGCGAGCGUUGUCCGGAAUUACUGGGCGUAAAGAGCUCGUAGGUGGUUUGUCGCGUUGUCCGUGAAAACUCACAACUCAAUUGUGGGCGUGCGGGCGAUACGGGCAGACUGGAGUACUGCAGGGGAGACUGGAAUUCCUGGUGUAGCGGUGGAAUGCGCAGAUAUCAGGAAGAACACCUAUGGCGAAGGCAGCUCUCUGGGACGGUACUGACGCUGAGACGCGAAAGCGUGGGGAGCGAACAGG